AUAUAAGUAGUUUAAUAAUAAAAAUGUUGAUUUGUGGUGUCAGAGAUUUAAUUUAAUGUUAAUUUAU
RNAcentral lists this transfer RNA (67 nucleotides) under Austrodecus sp. JZ-2022. RNAcentral's name for it is "tRNA-His". The record is from RNAcentral. Lineage: Eukaryota; Metazoa; Arthropoda; Pycnogonida; Pantopoda; Austrodecidae.